CGCGUAGGCGGGUUUUUAAGUUGUGGGUGAAAUUCCGAGGCUCAACCUCGGAACUGCCUGCAAAACUGGGAGCCUUGAGGUAUGGAGAGGGAAGUGGAACUCCUGGUGUAGCGGUGAAAUGCGUAGAUAUCAGGAGGAACACCCGUGGCGAAGGCGGCUUCCUGGCCAUAUCCUGACGCUGAGGUGCGAAAGCCAGGGUAGCGAACG
RNAcentral lists this ribosomal RNA (207 nucleotides) under uncultured bacterium. RNAcentral's name for it is "partial 16S ribosomal RNA". It matches the Rfam family "Bacterial small subunit ribosomal RNA", at positions 568 to 774 of the family's 1533-position model. The record is from RNAcentral.